AUCGAUCAUACCGUGUUGUUGGAAAUACUGAGUGAAAAUUUCUAAGAUGAGCGUUUUAUUCAACUAAUUAAUCGAUUGCUAAAAACAGGUUAUAUGGAC
RNAcentral lists this non-coding RNA (99 nucleotides) under Wolbachia endosymbiont of Armadillidium vulgare str. wVulC. Lineage: Bacteria; Pseudomonadati; Pseudomonadota; Alphaproteobacteria; Rickettsiales; Anaplasmataceae. The record is from RNAcentral.